CGCGUAGGCGGUUUGAUAAGUCAGAUGUGAAAGCCCACGGCUUAACUGUGGAAGUGCAUUUGAUACUGUUAGACUUGAGUACCAGAGGGGAAAGUGGAAUUCCCGGUGUAGAGGUGAAAUUCGUAGAUAUCGGGAGGAAUACCGGUGGCGAAGGCGACUUUCUGGCUGGAUACUGACGCUGAGGCGCGAAAGCGUGGGGAGCAAACA
RNAcentral lists this ribosomal RNA (207 nucleotides) under uncultured delta proteobacterium. RNAcentral's name for it is "partial 16S ribosomal RNA". It matches the Rfam family "Bacterial small subunit ribosomal RNA", at positions 568 to 774 of the family's 1533-position model. Lineage: Bacteria; Deltaproteobacteria. The record is from RNAcentral.